RNAcentral lists this ribosomal RNA (260 nucleotides) under uncultured bacterium. Its description in RNAcentral is "partial 16S ribosomal RNA". It matches the Rfam family "Bacterial small subunit ribosomal RNA", at positions 96 to 354 of the family's 1533-position model. The record is from RNAcentral.
UGGCGGACGGGUGGAGUAACGCGUGGGUAACCUGCCCCAUACAGGGGGAGUAACAGAUAGAAAUGUCUGCUAAUACCGCAUAAGACCACAGCACCGCAUGGUGCAGGGGUAAAAACUCCGGUGGUAUGGGAUGGACCCGCGUCUGAUUAGCUGGUUGGUGAGGUAACGGCUCACCAAGGCAACGAUCAGUAGCCGACCUGAGAGGGUGACCGGCCACAUUGGGACUGAGACACGGCCCAAACUCCUACGGGAGGCAGCAG